RNAcentral lists this ribosomal RNA (440 nucleotides) under uncultured bacterium. RNAcentral's name for it is "partial 16S ribosomal RNA". It matches the Rfam family "Bacterial small subunit ribosomal RNA", at positions 338 to 795 of the family's 1533-position model. The record is from RNAcentral.
CCUACGGGUGGCAGCAGUAGGGAAUAUUGCUCAAUGGGGGAAACCCUGAAGCAGCAACGCCGCGUGGAGGAUGAAGGUUUUCGGAUUGUAAACUCCUUUUGUUAGAGAAGAUAAUGACGGUAUCUAACGAAUAAGCAACGGGUAACUCCGUGCCAGCAGCCGCGGUACUACGGAGGGUGCAAGCGUUACUCGGAAUCACUGGGCGUAAAGAGCGCGUAGGCGGGAUAGCAAGUCAGAUGUGAAAUCCUAUGGCUUAACCAUAGAACUGCAUUUGAAACUGUUAUUCUAGAGUAUGGGAGAGGUAGGUGGAAGUCUUGGUGUAGGGGUAAAAUCCGUAGAGAGCAAGAGGAAUACUCAUUGCGAAGGCGACCUGCUAGAACAUAACUGACGCUGAUGCGCGAAAGCGUGGGGAGCGAACAGGAUUAGAUACCCUUGUAGUC